UACAGCCGCAUUAUUAAAAAAUGCGUCGCUAAAUAUGGCGUUUUUAUGUGUCGAAAUUUUUAGCGAAAAAUUUGUUUCAUCAUCCAGCUACACUGAGCUGAAUUUGUAUUACUACGUCACGGUGGCUAGAUAGUGAAUCACUACGUCACGGUGGGGAAAAAGUGCACCAGUUGGUGCAACAGUCCCGAGUCUCUUUGGCCGAGUGAACCACCUAAACGUCACGAAUUUCAUUGUUUUUUAGCCUACGUCACGGUGGGAAAUCGCUGCUGACUGUUGCACUUAAGCCCACGAACACCAAAAUUUCAUUCUGACUGGUGCACUUGAGCCAGCGUUAUAAAUCUUCAAACCUUCAAAAUUAUAAUUACAUGACUAUCGCAUUUGGCUUAUUUAUAUCUUGAAGUCAUCAUGGCUGAAAGUAGGCAAUAUACGAUUUUGGCUCAUUGAUUCAAGACAGUUAAACCAGCGAGAUUUCUUCUGUAAGAAAGGAUUAUGAAGCAAAAGUCUCUGCUGCCAUUCCGACUAAAACAGACCUGUUUCGAAAAGGAAAGCUGGCGAGAGAUCUUAACGCAGAGUUGAUUAUCCCUAACCAUAUGGGAGAUAAUUGGCGGGCUUUAAAAACUAGAGGUGACGGUAACUGCAUGAACAUUUCUUUGCUAUGUCUACGUAUCUUUUUCUGCUGUUGUUGGACCAGUGGUAUGAAGUGUGAUUAAUGGUCAAAAACUUGUGCUUCAUUUGUGAGAUAUAAAAGGCUUCUUUGCGUUUCACGACAAAAAAUAUGCCAAGCUUCUACCUUUUCAAAAUCACUCGUGGAUUGGAAUGAUACCUUCCUGAUUGUAAGUUUUGGCGAAGGUAUGAAACUUGAUAAAUCUGAUAGUAGUAAUGAAAAUGUUUAAAGGUUAGUGGAAUUUUAGAUUUUAUAUCAUUGAAAUUUGCGAAAAGUUUACAAACUAAGUAAAGCCAAGUUUUUUUUAAA
Long non-coding RNA from Xenia sp. Carnegie-2017, 973 nucleotides. RefSeq lists it as uncharacterized. The record is from RefSeq and is a predicted model, not a curated record. The transcript has 2 exons. NCBI's taxonomy places the organism in Eukaryota, Metazoa, Cnidaria, Anthozoa, Malacalcyonacea, Xeniidae.